UAGAGUUUGAUCCUGGCUCAGAACGUACGCUGGCGGCACGCCUAACACAUGCAAGUCGAACGAAGUAGCAAUACUUAGUGGCAGACGGGUGAGUAACAUGUAGGUAUCUGCCCUUUGGCCUGGAAUAACACGAGGAAACUUGUGCUAAUACCGGAUAAGUCUUUACGGAGAAAGCUUUAUGCACCAUUGGAUGAGCCUGCACUUGAUUAGUUUGUUGGUGGGGUAAUGGCCUACCAAGACUUUGAUCAAUAGCUGAUUUGAGAGGAUGAUCAGCCACAUUGGGACUGAGACACGGCCCAAACUCCUACGGGAGGCAGCAGUGGGGAAUCUUGCACAAUGGAGGAAACUCUGAUGCAGCGAUGCCGCGUGAGUGAAGAAGGCCCUUGGGUUGUAAAGCUCUUUCGUCGGGGAAGAAAAUGACUGUACCCGAAUAAGAAGGUCCGGCUAACUUCGUGCCAGCAGCCGCGGUAAUACGAAGGGACCUAGCGUAGUUCGGAAUUACUGGGCUUAAAGAGUUCGUAGGUGGUUGAAAAAGUUGGUGGUGAAAUCCCAGAGCUUAACUCUGGAACUGCCAUCAAAACUUUUCAGCUAGAGUUUGAUAGAGGAAAGCAGAAUUUCUAGUGUAGAGGUGAAAUUCGUAGAUAUUAGAAAGAAUACCAAUUGCGAAGGCAGCUUUCUGGAUCAUUACUGACACUGAGGAACGAAAGCAUGGGUAGCGAAGAGGAUUAGAUACCCUCGUAGUCCAUGCCGUAAACGAUGUGUGUUAGACGUUGGAAAUUUAUUUUCAGUGUCGCAGCGAAAGCGAUAAACACACCGCCUGGGGAGUACGACCGCAAGGUUAAAACUCAAAUGAAUUGACGGGGACCCGCACAAGUAGUGGAGCAUGUGGUUUAAUUCGAAGAUACGCGCAGAACCUUACCAACACUUGACAUGUUCGUCGCGACUUUAAGAGAUUAAAGUUUUCGGUUCGGCCGGACGAAACACAGGUGCUGCAUGGCUGUCGUCAGCUCGUGUCGUGAGAUGUUGGGUUAAGUCCCGCAACGAGCGCAACCCUCACUUUUAGUUGCCAUCAUUUAGUUGGGCACUCUGAAAGAACUGCCAGUGAUAAGCUGGAGGAAGGUGGGGAUGUCGUCAAGUCCUCAUGGCCCUUACGUGUUGGGCUACACACGUGCUACAAUGGUAUCUACAACAGGAAGCAAGACGGCGACGUUUAGCAAAUCCUUAAAAGAUACCUCAGUUCGGAUUGCACUCUGCAACUCGAGUGCAUGAAGCUGGAAUUACUAGUAAUCGUGGAUCAGCGUGCCACGGUGAAUGCGUUCCCGGGUCUUGUACACACCGCCCGUCACACCAUGGGAGUUGGUUCUACCUUAAGGCAAGGUUUUAAACCCUUGACCACGGUAUAGUCAGCGACUGGGGUGAAGUCGUAACAAGGUAACCA
RNAcentral lists this ribosomal RNA (1438 nucleotides) under uncultured bacterium. RNAcentral describes it as "bacterial SSU rRNA". It matches the Rfam family "Bacterial small subunit ribosomal RNA". The record is from RNAcentral.